RNAcentral lists this ribosomal RNA (119 nucleotides) under Pteropus alecto (black flying fox). Lineage: Eukaryota; Metazoa; Chordata; Mammalia; Chiroptera; Pteropodidae. The record is from RNAcentral.
GUCUAUGGCCAUGCCACCCUGAACGAGCCCGAUCCCGUCUGAUCUCAGAAGCUAAGCAGAGUCGGGCCUGGUUAGUACUUGGAUGGGAGACCACCUAGGAAGACCAGGUACUGUAGGCG